Amphiprion ocellaris (clown anemonefish) is the source of this 4489-nucleotide long non-coding RNA. RefSeq lists it as uncharacterized. Lineage: Eukaryota; Metazoa; Chordata; Actinopteri; Pomacentridae. The transcript has 3 exons. The record is from RefSeq and is a predicted model, not a curated record.
AUAUAUAUACACUACUAACUGUCAAAGCAACUAACGACAGCAACAAAACCAACCUAUUCUGCGGAAAAUCAUUGAAAUGAACGACACUAAGGGAUUUCCUAUCCCGGAACACACUCGAUCCCGCCCAGUGAGUCGCAUAACAAACCGAACCAAUCAGGUGAUUCGAAGCAGUUGAGUGCUUCAAACGUCACUGAAGUGAUUCAAACGUCACGAGUCACGUGACCAAAACACGCCUCGGCACAGUGGCUCAAUACGUUUGCUUCAUGAGCUACAGCGCAUGUGUCGAAACCUCGGGUAUCAGAGGACCAUCACUAAUCACAGGAUUCCUACCGGACGCCAGCUCCUAGUACGGCUGAAGUCAAAUGGUCACCGUGGCGCUUCGGCUGAUUCUACCAGCAGACACUGGAAAGGGCUCUGAUAGUUCAGUCCCUCUCUAUCUCCCCACACAUCCACCAACCACUGGAACACAUCUCCAAAGUUCUGCCGGGCCAGUUCAGCUUCCCCUCAGAAGAAGUGCUGCCACCUGCCAGAUGAAGGAGCCUUUUGAGAGGCAGCUGGAAUCGUGAUUGGACUGUACUUUGGUCUGUUCCAAUCCAGCUUCAGCUCCAGAGACGGCAGGCGGGACGAGUCAACGGAGGCCGGGUGGACGAAGGCAUGCAGCUGAGUACAAUCCAGAAAACAACAGAGGAGGAGUGCAGGGCCAGAACAAACAGAGUAGCAUCGUAUGUCUCUUAGAAAACAUCAUAGUAUAGCCUUUGGGAUGAAAAAACGCCAUCAUAUACAUUGUAUAUUGUACAAAUAACAAGUCAAAGGAAAGAGACAUACAUUGUAGAAUUGUAGUAAUUGUGGGCUGACUGAUUUACUGAUUAUCAAUAUUUUAUUUUUUACUGAUUUACGGUAAUAAAUCAAUUUAAAAAUGGUGCUACUUUGGCUCUGAACCUUAAUCUACCUGUGGUCGCUCUGUCUUCUGGAGUGAUUUGAUUGGUUAUACGUCACGAAUAAAACUCCUUUAACUUAACAUCUGUAAACAAAACAAAAACGUAUCAACAAAGUUUUCUGUUAGAGUUUGUGUUCUUCGAAGUUUAACUCCAAAAUUUUAAAUACUUUCAUUUACUGCAAAUGAAUAUCUACUCCAGAUGUCUCACUAAUAAUCAUUAUCAGCCUUAAAAACCCACAAAACACCCCUCUAUACUCGACCACACUUAGUACAGUCUGGUUCCCCCUUCUAUAAAUCUGCUUGGAAUCUUCCACUUCCUGUUUGUCAAAGUGGCCUUCUACCUGGACAGGUUUUGUUGGAGCUCAUGCAACAAACAUUUUGGGUAACUGCACUUUAAUAUGGAUGGAUGACACUGAAUUAGAGUCUGUUUUAAUGAGACUGAGUUAAGAUGUGUAGCUCUGUCAUUAAAUAGGAAAUUAUUUCUCAGAAUUCACAGAGAAAAGUCUGAAAUGUUUGCUGGGUUAGCGUCCCACAUGUUCUUUGGCUCAGCUAAAGCUAACUCUCUCCAACUUCUGGAUCUCUUGAGUUGAUUGUUGUUAAAAUAUCUUGCUAGAGGUGCUGAAGCUCAGAAAGUCUGAGAUGUUUGUUCAAAAUAAGCUCAUUCUCAAGUCUUAUCUGAACUGUCCUCUUUUGUUUUAACUUUCCCUAAACUUAGGAAUUAAUAACAGAGCAGCACAUCCAGACUCAGUCUCAUUUAUGUAGAGAUUAAACUUCUGUGUCAUUCAUUGAUGUUAAAGUGCAGCUUUUCAAAUGUUUGUUGCACAUGCUCCCGACCAAACCAGUCCAGGUGGAAGACGAUGUGAAGAGAAAGCUCCAGAGGAUGAAUAUCACACAUUUACGUUGGAAAUAAAUGUCCUUUAAUUAGACGUUGUCAUGCAACAGUUGGAUUUCCCUUUAAUGAUGUUCAAAUCUUUGAGUGUUUUGUUGAUGUUGGUUUCUAAAUGUUUUUUGACACUCGGCCCCAAAGAUUAAAACCUUCUACAGCUCACAAGCUGCAACAAUUCACACAUUAUCAACUAUCUUUCUGACUAAACUAAGAUAAAAAGUGAAAAACUGUCUGAUUCCUGCAUCAUGAAUGUAAAUCUUUUUGGUUUUUAUGACAGUAAACUGAAUAUAUUUGGGUUUGACAUUUUAUAAACCAAAACAAGAAAUGAAUUACUGGAGAAAACAAUCAACAGAUUAAUGGUCAAAGAAAAUGUGUUUUCCAACAUAUAUGGCUGAAUUACUCAAACAUUACAAGAUACAUACAAUUUUAAUUCAAUUUUAUUUAUAUAAUGCCAAUUACAGGUCAAAUUGUCUCAAGAUGCUUUAUUUUUAUAUUCUUUUGUCAUCUUUAAAAUAUGACAAAAUAAGAAAUUUAAACCUCUUGACUAAUCCAAUUUAUUAUUUAGUUUUUAAGAGACUAAUUGACAAUUCAAACUUUCUCCACUAAAACUAAUAAACAUAAGGUCAAAUAGAAGGAACAGUUUUAAAUACUGCAGCCCCACGACGACAAGAAUAAAGUUUCUCAACAAAAAGUAAAUCUGCUGGUGGAUUCCAUGAAAGUCCUAAUAAAUGAUAAUAAAGUGUGAUACUAAAGGUUUGUGGUGCUAAAAAUCUCCAAGUAAAGAUAGCAAGUUGAACAUCUGGAUGGAGGUUGAUAAACGUUGACCUCCCUUCAUUUCUCUGGAGUCAACUCCAUGGAUUUUAUGGAUGGUGGUUAAAGACCUGCUCUUCUAGUCGUCUUCCUUCUAGUCACUGUAAAAAGUCACACCAUCCUCGUCGCUGACUUCAACACCUCUUCAUGACAACUUGUUCUGCCUCCGACCUCGUGGAAACUCCAGAAACUCGGGAAAACCUGUCGAGACUCGAAGAACUCGUGGAGACUCGAGGAACUCGUCGGGUGGGGGAAGGUGUGGUGGGUGGUGGGGGAGUAGAGGGGGGAGGCCGCCACCCACCUCCCCGCCUACUCUCCGCCCUGACUCCACCCAGACUCCGCCUUGGCUCCACCCAUGUGGUCACUUGGAAACUACGAUGACAAAGGGACGACGAAAUCAUUUUAUUUUCAUCUGAUCUGUAGCUCAGUGAGUUAAGGAUUUGCCUAUGGAGCUGCAGGUCGCUGGUUCAAGACCAGACACUUCUUAAAUUUUCUCAAAAUUCUGACAAAGACAAAGAAAGAAAACUGCCAGUGGCGGGUCUUGAACCGGCUACCUUCCAGUUGGUAGUCUGUCUCUUAUCCUCCUGAGCUAUUCGCUCAGAUACUAAUUCUUCUUUUUUUUGCGCAUUUAUCAUCUAUUUUUUGUCGUAUUCGAGUUUUUUUUUAACUCGAGUCUCGACUCGACCGUUUUUCUCAGGAGGUUGGACUUCAGCCUUUGUGCUGGAGGGUUGAACCCUCAGUUCCAAGACUUUCCAAGCCUCCAGACCUCCUGAGUCCUCAGGACCUGAGCUUUCACACAGUCUGAGGGCUGAAAUUUUCUAAGUUCCACAGUAGUUCUCUGUUAGAUUGAACUUUCAGACAGUCCAAGGACUGAUAUCUUCUAAGUUCCUGAGUAGUUCUCUGUUGGUUUGAACCUUUCCACAGUCUGAGGACUGAAAUCUUAAAAGUUCUUGAGUAGUUCUCUGUUAGUUUGAACCUUCAGACAGUCUGAGGACUGAAAUUUUAAAAGUUUCUCAGUACUUCUGUGUUAGUUUGAACUUUCUGGUUAACAGAAGCCUUAAAACUUGUGACCAUGAGUCUUGAUUUCACAUUUAGACCAUCCGAGUUCUUCUCAGACCUUCACCUGUGGGUUUUUUAGAAAUCCUCAACAAACUUUGAUUCUCUUCACUGAACAGUAAAGUUUGUGGAGAUCAGAAGGUAACAUUAGUUUGAUCAAUGCCUUCAACUACUAGUAGACUUUAUCUGGAAAGCAGUUUUCUGAAAUGAGCACUUAAUAAAUCUGUCUACAAUCAAACCAAGAACAUAGAAAGAGGAAAUGUUUGAAGAAACAACUUGAUGUUUUCAUUUCGGACUAGAAAACUCUUUAAUACCUUUAUCUGUUUUUGCUCUUUUUGAUCGUUUUAUUGUCUCUUCUGUUUAAUUUGAUCUUCUAAAGUCUAACUGGUGUCUUCAAAUGUUUUGUCUUUAGUUUGAUUCUUCUUAAACGUUUAGUUUUGCUCUUUUCUCACCUUUUAUUCUUUUCUAAUGUCUGAUUUGAUUUCAAAAUGUUUUGUCUUUUUAAUGUUUAAUUGUUUUUUCAAAUGUUUUAUCGGCUUGUUUGAGUUUCUUUUUCUUUCCCAAUAUUUAAUUUUUCGAUUAAAUCUUUAAGGAUUUUCUUUUUAAAUGUUUUACCACCUUUUAAUGUUUAAUUUUCUUUUUAAAUGCUUCAUUGUAUUUUCUGUUUAAUUCCUAUUUGAUGUUUUAUUGUCUUUAAGAUGUAUUUUUCUAAUUAAACAUUUAAUUUUUUAAUUAAAUGUUUUGUCUUUUUAAAGGUUAAUGAUCUAAUUAAAUGUUUUGUAUUUUUUUUGUGUUUAAUA